This 77-nucleotide transfer RNA is filed under the name Clostridia bacterium. RNAcentral's name for it is "tRNA-Arg". It matches the Rfam family "tRNA". Rfam says of the family: Transfer RNA (tRNA) molecules are approximately 80 nucleotides in length. Their secondary structure includes four short double-helical elements and three loops (D, anti-codon, and T loops). Further hydrogen bonds mediate the characteristic L-shaped molecular structure. tRNAs have two regions of fundamental functional importance: the anti-codon, which is responsible for specific mRNA codon recognition, and the 3' end, to which the tRNAs corresponding amino acid is attached (by aminoacyl-tRNA synthetases). tRNAs cope with the degeneracy of the genetic code in two manners: having more than one tRNA (with a specific anti-codon) for a particular amino acid; and 'wobble' base-pairing, i.e. permitting non-standard base-pairing at the 3rd anti-codon position. Lineage: Bacteria; Bacillati; Bacillota; Clostridia. The record is from RNAcentral.
GCGCCCGUAGCUCAGCCGGAUAGAGUGUUUGGCUACGAACCAAAAGGUCGUGGGUUCGAAUCCCGCCGGGCGUGCCA